RNAcentral lists this long non-coding RNA (1702 nucleotides) under Homo sapiens (human). RNAcentral describes it as "HSALNT0232333". Lineage: Eukaryota; Metazoa; Chordata; Mammalia; Primates; Hominidae. The record is from RNAcentral.
GAGUCUCCUGGCAUGGAAAUAGAGAAUUCAAGAAUGAAACUGUGAAAGAAGAGGGAAGAGAGAUUCAACAGGAUGUACAAUGCUCCCCACAUCUGUGAUUUUGAGCUUAUAAAUAAAACAGAAUGGCAAUUUUCGUGUGGUGUUAAUUUCCGUGGAAGAAGAAAAGGCUCGACUCUCUGUCCUAUUUUUCAUGAAUACUGGAAGUAGGGAAUAAACCUGGAGUCUCACGGGUGAAAAGAGACAUUUCCAUAUCACCAGACCACAAACGUGGGUGUUGAUUCUAAGGAUACCCCCAAUAAACAUCUUUCGUGCUAAAGCCCAUUCCAGAAUUUACUUCCCAGCUAUCUUUGAUGUUCAUAUUGUCAGAGGUGGUGGCCGCUGAAACAGGCAAAGACAUGGAGCAUAUCUUGGGUCCAGGACCUUGGGAGUCCAGAGGAAGGUCUUUUUACCAUCAGCAUUCUCUACUGUGUUCAAUGACUGUCAGCCAAAGAUGGCCAGCUUUCCUUCAGAAAGAAAUGCAUUCAAAGAACCUACAUUCACAACAUAAAGAAAUAAAGCCUGCACCUACAGAUCUACACACAUGCCCAUGCACAUGCAGGAAGUGUUCAUCUAAGACUGGACCUUUUAGAAGAAAGCUGGCAUACAUUCGUGAAGGCAUGGGCUUCCAGGCAUGUCAUCUUCACUCACGAAGCACACACAAGACCGCCAAGCAUUAAGAUUCUCCUGUGGAGCCAGGCUACAAUCCUUUAAAUGAAGACAGACAGCUAGGUGGCUGCAGCCCAGCGCUACACCUCACCCCUCCCUCAGUGUCAUGCAGAAAAAAUGUAUUCAGAACUCAGAAGUGAAGUUGUGCAAAUCCAUCAUUGACACUAGCUUCAAGGUUACCUCGGGGGAGCAGAAUGUACCCCUGCCAGAGAGCUGGAUAGAUGAUGAUGGGGACAGAAAUUCUGGGGGAGUUGUAAAUGGCAGCCACUGCCUCUAUAGGAAACCCAAAGGGAACACAGCAGAAGAGGAGGUGGUGGAGGAGCCACUGCCCUCUCGAAGGGUUCAAUGUCAUUCUGCAGACACAACCAAAUAACUUUUUCUUCCCUGCUGCUCCUCCAUUUGAAAUGACAGCCCCGAGCUCGCUUUUUCCUUGAUUGUGUAACUCUGAUUACAGACAAGGCCAAGGCAAUCCCAGGGCAUUACUACAAAGCUAAGGGGUCCCCAAAGAACUAAAGAGUCAGCUCCACAAAAAUCCCGAUUCCUAGCAUGAAACUGAAAUAUGAAACCAAACGGGCAUAGAAAAGGUAUGUGCAUUCGAAUCACAUAGCAGUGACUGGAGUCCUGAGCUGUGUCUGAAGACUGUGAGAUCACGUUUGGAGCUGCUGAUUGGUUUUCAGUGAUGGCCCUGUUGCACAGUGCCGUGAGACUUAGCUCCAUGGCCAAAGACGAUGGUAUCCCCUAGGAGCCCUGUGAGGUUGCUGCUGUUCUCUUAAGACACCAGGUAGCCAUCUGAUCCUCCCUGAGCAAACUAACUGGGCAGACAGGUUUAUUAAACCUCUGUUGGUCCGACUUACAUGAAACAAGAGAGUUAUUUUGUUGUUGUUGUUUUGUUUUGUUUUAAAUUAAACCUGUCUUUGGAGCCUCCUGCUCUUAGUUUACAAGUCUUCUUUGCACACUCUAAUAUUUUAAGAAGCAGCAAACAUUAACUGAGGGUCUA